GACGAACGCUGUCGGCGUGCUUAACACAUGCAAGUCGUACGGUAAGGCCCUUUCGGGGGUACACGAGUGGCGAACGGGUGAGUAACACGUGAGUAACCUGCCCACAACUUUGGGAUAACGCUAGGAAACUGGUGCUAAUACUGGAUAUGUGCUCCUGCUGCAUGGUGGGGGUUGGAAAGCUCCGGCGGUUGUGGAUGGACUCGCGGCCUAUCAGCUUGUUGGUGGGGUAGUGGCCUACCAAGGCGGCGACGGGUAGCCGGCCUGAGAGGGUGACCGGCCACAGUGGGACUGAGAUACGGCCCAGACUCCUACGGGAGGCAGCAGUGGGGAAUAUUGCACAAUGGGCGCAAGCCUGAUGCAGCAACGCCGCGUGCGGGAUGACGGCCUUCGGGUUGUAAACCGCUUUCAGCAGGGACGAAGCUUUUUGUGACGGUACCUGCAGAAGAAGCACCGGCUAACUACGUG
RNAcentral lists this ribosomal RNA (465 nucleotides) under uncultured bacterium. RNAcentral describes it as "partial 16S ribosomal RNA". It matches the Rfam family "Bacterial small subunit ribosomal RNA", at positions 28 to 507 of the family's 1533-position model. The record is from RNAcentral.